GAUGAACGCUAGCUACAGGCUUAACACAUGCAAGUCGCGGGGCAGCAUGGGGGUUGCUUGCAAUCCCCGAUGGCGACCGGCGCACGGGUGAGUAACGCGUAUCCAACCUGCCCUUCACCACGGGAUAACCCGGCGAAAGUCGGACUAAUACCGUAUGUUGUCCAUUGACGGCAUCCGAUUUGGACGAAAGGCUUAGCGGUGAGGGAUGGGGAUGCGUCCGAUUAGCCAGACGGCGGGGUAACGGCCCACCGUGGCUACGAUCGGUAGGGGUUCUGAGAGGAAGGUCCCCCACACUGGAACUGAGACACGGUCCAGACUCCUACGGGAGGCAGCAGUGAGGAAUAUUGGUCAAUGGGCGUAAGCCUGAACCAGCCAAGUAGCGUGCAGGAUGACGGCCCUAUGGGUUGUAAACUGCUUUUAUGCGGGGAUAAAGUGGCCCACGUGUGGGCUUUUGCAGGUACCGCAUGAAUAAGGACCGGCUAAUUCCGUG
RNAcentral lists this ribosomal RNA (490 nucleotides) under uncultured bacterium. Its description in RNAcentral is "partial 16S ribosomal RNA". It matches the Rfam family "Bacterial small subunit ribosomal RNA", at positions 28 to 507 of the family's 1533-position model. The record is from RNAcentral.